This is an RNA transcript of Mus musculus (house mouse), 781 nucleotides long. It is a transcript of the gene named predicted gene, 20741, with no coding region annotated. Lineage: Eukaryota; Metazoa; Chordata; Mammalia; Rodentia; Muridae. The record is from RefSeq and is marked provisional. The transcript has a single exon.
CCCAGUUACAUCCUGCUGAGCACAAAUCUCCUCUCAAUAUGACCUACAACUGCUGCUCUAAAAAUGACUCUCCCUCCCUUAGGUGCUGCUGCCCACCUCGGGAACCUGCUGUGGCUCUUCCUGCUCCAGCUACCUGGUCUACACCACUACCAGAUGAUUCUCCCAGCACCUGCCAGCUGGACUCUUCUCUGCACGGUGGCUGCCAGGAGACCUACAUUGAGCCCACCAGCUGCCAGAUGCCCUGCUAUUACUUCAGGAGCUUCACACCCUGCAGUCCUUGCCAGGAGACAUAUGCUAGCUCUCUGGGCUUUGGGUCCAGCAGCUAUCACCCCCUAGGCUAUGGAUCUAGAAGCUUUUUCCCAGGGAGCUGUGGAUUCAGUGGCUUCAGAUCACUGAAUUAUGAAGUCCCUGUUUUCCCUCCUCUGACUUGUACAUCCACACUCUGCUACCCAAUCUACAUGCUUUUCAAUAGCAACCAACCUUCAUUCUGUGUUCCAACAUGUGGACCACAUCUCUCUGAAAUCAGCUGUUAACUACCUACAUUCUACAGUAUUGAAGUCGGUGUCUCUACACCCUAUACUCUUGUUUUCUUGCUUUUCACUUACAGCUAUCCUCUUUCUUCUAAUAAGAACUUCUCAACUUCUGGUGGAACCUGGGAGGAGGGUAAAAUCACAAAUUAUGAAAUUCUGGCAGUAAUGCUGACAUAUGUAUGUGCUCUUUGGUUGUUAUCCAACAGCAGGCGAUGACCAAAAAUUUAUCAUAAUAAACUUGUGCAACCUGA